CACUGGUGACAGUUACUAAGGCACGUCAAGCUACGCUCACGCGUACUUUUACACAUCAAAAACGAAAGCCGAUGCAGGUCACCUCCCGCCGCACAUCUUAUAAAGAGCGUGACGCCAGACGCCAUGUAGCCAUGUUUAUUUACCAAUUCAAACGGCUUGAGCUUGGCCUGGCUUAGCGGCUUAGCCAGUGGCUUAGCCACUUAUGACUUGCUUUCCCGCAACUACAGUGUACCCGCAACUUUUCAGUCGGCGGCUUGGUGUGCGUGCUCUCGGAACAAGUGCGAACUGGGAGGGACACAUCAGUGUGACGACUCGAGAAGGAAAUAUGGCUUUGACAGCUGUUGGUAGUAUUAUCAGAAAGACAUAGAACACAUGGAAGCACACAUAAAGAGCACACAUAACCAGCGGAAUAACCAGCAUGUAUGUAUUUCAACAUACAUGCUCUGACAAAGUUUCUAUUCAACCUGGCAUGGCCCAAGAAUCAGCUAUGAAAACUAAAGCCCACACAACAUCGACACGAUCGUGCUACGAAAGUAGAGGUCAGGCGAGGCCUCCAGUGGUGCCAAAAUUAGGCUGGCACUGGUAUAGAAGAAAUACAACAAAGGUUAAAAGGGAGUGUGCCACAAUUACAGAACGAUAUGUCGUCAUUCUCUCAGAUGUCAUCACAGCUCCAACUAGGUGUCCUACAGUGCCAUUGCCACUCACUAAAGUAUGCUGAAGGCUACGAGUGACAACGUAUGAACACACUGUGCCACCUUAAGCGAAAAAUAUCGAUAUUAUCUCGCAAGCGCAUUCCUGGGGAAAUUCUGUGGGACAUUCUCCUUCAACCAGAACUACAGCUUGUGGGAAAUAUCUGUGCAUGAACAUUUGGAAAGAACUUGUCGAAGUGCCAUUUAUCUAGCGUUAGCAGAACUAGAAUAAUGCUGCUUUGAAGCAGAAUAUGACAACUGCUUUUCUCUCUUUGGGUUGCACCGUGAAUAAAAGAA
Long non-coding RNA from Rhipicephalus sanguineus (brown dog tick), 986 nucleotides. RefSeq lists it as uncharacterized. The transcript is spliced from 4 exons. The record is from RefSeq and is a predicted model, not a curated record. NCBI's taxonomy places the organism in Eukaryota, Metazoa, Arthropoda, Arachnida, Ixodida, Ixodidae.